RNAcentral lists this long non-coding RNA (349 nucleotides) under Malus domestica (apple). Its description in RNAcentral is "long non-coding RNA (MDOM_LNC004792)". Lineage: Eukaryota; Viridiplantae; Streptophyta; Magnoliopsida; Rosales; Rosaceae. The record is from RNAcentral.
AGGUGAAGUUUUGGUGUUGAAGCUUUAUAGGUGAAGCUUUGUGUUUGAAGCUUUAUAGGUGAAGCUUUGGGGUUGAAGUUUGAUAGGUGAAGCUUUGUGUUUGAAGCUUUAUAGGUGAAGCUUUGGUGUUGAAGCUUUAUAGGUGAAGCUUUGUGUUGAAGCUUUAUAGGUGAAGCUUUAGGGUUGAAGCUUUAUAGGUGAAGCUUUUGUUGGCACCAUAAAUUGAUUGUGCUUCGCACUAUCUUGAUGAACAUAGUGCGAAGCUUUGGAGAUUGAUACUUGUCCUCCAUUGAUGAAGCUUUUGUUGGCACCAUAAAUUGAUUGUGCUUCGCACUAUCUUGAUGAACAU